GGAUCCACUUCCUAUCAAUAUAGGAAGAUAGGACUUGCUAUCUUCGAUCUACUUCACGCCAAUACAUGAAGACAAGAUCUGCUUUCUGCGAUCUACUUCGCCACCAAUAUGGGAAGACAAGAUCUGCGUCGUCGAUCCACUUCCUACCAAUAUAGGAAGAUAGGAUCAGCUAUCUUCGAUCUAUUUCUUGCCCCGGGAGAUAGAACUAUCAGCUUCAAUGUACUCCAUUGUAAUCAGGGAGGUAAAAUCUGCCAUCUUCGAUCUGCUUUGCUGCCAAAUACAGGAAGGCAAGAUCUGCAAUCUUCAAUCUAUUCCACUGCCAAAUACAGGGAGAUAGAGUUAUCGGCUUCAAUGUACUCCCAUGUAGUCAGGGAGGUAAAAUCUGCCAUCUUUGAUCUUCAAUCUAUUCCACUGCCAAAUGCAGAGAGAUAGAGUUAUCGGCUUUAAUGUACUCCACUGUAGUCAGGGAGGUAAAAUCUGCCAUCUUUGAUCUUCAAUCUAUUCCACUGCCAAAUACAGGGAGAUAGAGUUAUCGGCUUCAAUGUACUCCACUGUGGUCAGGGAGGUAAAAUCUGCCAUCUUUGAUCUGCUUCGCUGCCAAAUACAGGAAGGCAAGAUCUGCAAUCUUCAAUC
RNAcentral lists this long non-coding RNA (633 nucleotides) under Gossypium barbadense (sea-island cotton). RNAcentral's name for it is "long non-coding RNA (GBAR_LNC012916)". The record is from RNAcentral. Lineage: Eukaryota; Viridiplantae; Streptophyta; Magnoliopsida; Malvales; Malvaceae.